GUGCAGCAGGCGAGAAUUUUUCUCAAUGGGGACAACCCUGAAGGAGCGACGCCGCGUGGAGGAUGAAGGCUUUCGGGUUGUAAACUCCUGUCAUUUGGGAACAAGUUGGACGCAGUAACUACGCGUCCAUUGAUAGUACCAGAAGAGGAAGGGACGGCUAACUCUGUGCCAGCAGCCGCGGUAAUACAGAGGUCCCAAGCGUUGUUCGGAUUCAUUGGGCGUAAAGGGUGCGUAGGUGGCGCCGUAAGUGGGGUGUGAAAUUUCGGAGCUUAACUCCGAAACUGCAUUCCAUACUGCGGUGCUUGAGGACUGGAGAGGAGACUGGAAUUCAUGGUGUAGCAGUGAAAUGCGUAGAGAUCAUGAGGAAGACCAGUGGCGAAGGCGGGUCUCUGGACAGUUCCUGACACUGAGGCACGAAGGCCAGGGGAGCAAACGGGAUUAGAUACCCCGGUAGU
RNAcentral lists this ribosomal RNA (455 nucleotides) under uncultured organism. RNAcentral's name for it is "bacterial SSU rRNA". It matches the Rfam family "Bacterial small subunit ribosomal RNA", at positions 346 to 794 of the family's 1533-position model. The record is from RNAcentral.